CACCAUGCAGCAUACUCGCCGACCGGUGUCACUCGCCCUCAUCCGCGGACGACAACGAAGUACAAGCGCCGGAGCUGCCGGCUCAACCCGGCGCUAUCCGUCGCAGCGACAACGACGCCCGCGACGAAGCAGCCGGCUGCUGCUCGACGCCAUCAACGCCAUCUGCCGCAACGACAAUGACGCUCGUGACGGGGCUGCCGGCGUGCUGCGCGGCGCCAUCUUCAUCACCCGUGAGGCACGGCGACAUCUUUACCGCCCAUGAGACGCGGCGGUGACGUCCUUGAUGAGGCGGCCGGCAUGCAGCGCGGCGCCAUCUCAACCACCCGCGAGGCGCGAUGAUGACGAGUCCGUGCCAAGGCUGCAGGCAUGCAGCCCGGCGCCAUCUCCACCACCCGCGGGGCGCGUCGACGACGACGAGUCCGCACCGAGGCUGCCGGCAUGCAGUGUGGCACCAUCUCCACCACCCGCGAGGCGCGCCGACGAUGACGAGUCCACACCGAGGCUGCCGGCGUGCAGCGUGGCACCAUCUUCACCACACCACGAGACGUUGCGACGACGUCGUUGGCGAGGCUGCCGGCAUUCAGCGCGGCGACGACAUCCGUGUAGGGGCUGCUGGCGUGUAGCUCGGUGUCAUCUCCAACUCCGCAAGCGACGUCCAAGGAACGACAUCGCGUAGCCCAACGACAUCUUCACCGCCCAUGAGACGCGGCGGUGACGUCCUUGAUGAGGCCGCCGGCGUGCAGCGCGGUGCCAUCUUCACCACCCGUGAAGCGCGACGACGACGUCCGUGACGAGGCUGCCGGCUGCAGCACGGCGCCAUCUUCAUCACCCGUGAGGCGCGAUGACGACAACCUUGAUGAGGCGGCCGUCGUGCAGCGCGACGCCAUCUUCAACUCUACACCAUGCCACCAACGACAACGUCGGGGCUGCCGGUGUACAGUCCGGCGCCAUCCGCCAUGGCGAGGACGACGCCGACCUUGGCGAGGCUGCUGGCAUGCAUCGCGGCGCCAUCUCCAUGGCACCGACGAGCCUCGACGAUGACGUCCACGACAAGGCUGUCGGCGUGUAGCACGGCGCCAUAAACACCACUCCCGCGAGCCGCGACGGACGUCCGUGAUGAGGCCACCGGCGUGUAUCAUGGCGCCAUCAACACACCCACAAGCCGUGAUGACGACAUCUCCACCACCCGCGGGGCGCAGCGACGACAUCCGUGUCGGGGCUGCUGGCGCGCGGCGCCAUCUCCACCACCUGUGAGGCGCGAUGGUGACGCCCAUGAGGAGGCUGCCGACAUACAGUGCGGCGCCCUCUCCAUGAUGCCCACGAGGCGAGAACGACGUCCGCAACGAGGCCGCCCGCGUGUAUCGUGGCGCCACCUCCACCACAGCCUCCAAGCGCGACGACAACGAGUCCGUGUCAAGGCUGCCGGCGUGCAGCGCAACGCCGUCUUCACCAUGCUGCGAGGCGACAAUGUCUGCGCCAAGGCUGUCGGCGUGCAGCGCGGCGUCCUUUCCAUGACACCCGCGAGGCGCGAUGAAGGCGUUCGUGUUAGGGCUGCCCGCGCGCGUGAAGCAACGAGUGUAGCUAGCUAGUUCCUAAACUAGACUAGAGCAAACUCACUUCAUCAAACGGAUAAAUACACCUACGUAUCAGGGAGGGGCUCUACGUGCAUAUAUGCGCCAGAGGUGCAACCUCAACUAGUACAUGCGCUCAUGAACCACGCGGUCCUAAUCUUGGACACUCCUGUCAACGUCGAGCUGCUGCUAGCACGCGACGUCUCCACCAGCAGGCCUGAAGACGAUGGCAUCGUGGACUUCGGUGUACAGCUCGCCGAGGCCUCUUCUGGUGUGGAGCUUGUCGGCGUCGAGGUGUUGCCGGCGCGCAGUCCGGCCAUGGAUGCACUGGACUUGGCGUGACUCUCGUGGCCGCCACACCGUCGGGAGCUCGGCACGACUCAUGGUGUCGUAUGCGGUCAAGACCCACCAAAAGCUGGAGAGAAUGAACUCCAUGCCAUCCCGCAGCUCGAGCGCCUCGCUCAUCCGUGGCCUACCUACCGGCAGGAGUUGCUACCAUGUACUGAUGUUAAAUACAUCAUGUAUCCACGAACGUACAUGAGACCAAAGGAGCGCGCGCUCUUGGCACUCUCAACUACUCCACGACCCCUCGAUGAGGUUUCGAGCAAGGCGCCAUACCAACCAAAUCACCACCAACCUGAGAGUUAUUCUAGGCGGGCGUUCGCUAGCCACACCGACGUGGCUCCAUGCGGACGAACCUUCCUAGUCGUGAAAACAUCUUCCACAACACUUCUCCGCGAGCCCGUGAGAUGGCGUCUUUGACUACGUCGACGGCCAUGAACUUGGCGUCAGGCCCAAGACGCCGACCACACCGGCCAUGCCGACAUGAGCUUGUGUUGGUUUUACACCGACGCCGGUCUCCCGAUAAUUUACUCCCGCGAGGCAUACCCCUUAUGCACCCCGACGAUGCCGCUAAGUCGUCAAGAUGUCCUAGCUAAAUGGACUGCAUCAUGCUACUUCAACAACAAUCAUCAUCGCCGCUCAAGACCGACGAGGCGCGACGGCAAGGGCGGGCGAGGCCGCAGCACAGGCCACGCUUACAGCGGCGCGUGUACCGACGAGGACACGGGCUCUGCCGCUGCCCACACACAUAUUCACCACCAUCAUGCAUGCAGAACGUGAAGCGAAGACGACGAAGACGACCACACGGCUUAAUCGGAAGUGUCUCGCGGCGUAACCCGCGGGAGUAAUUAACCGGGAGCCUUCCGAGGCCCGGGGAAUCAGGAGACUGCAAUCGCUCUAGUCAGGCUGGCCGCGCUAGUAGGCCACGGAGCGUACACACAUGGGAAUUGUAUUUGUUAUUUAUAUGAUUAAUGAAAUACUGUUCCCGCAUCUCUUUUGUUUCUUUGUGUAUACUUAUACACUGGCACGCCCGCAUCUUUUUCUUUUACCGAUCCCCGGUGCGCGUGAGAGAACGACGCCCUUCCGCCCUACUCGCGGGAGUCGUCCGUACGUUUUUCUCGUGUCAAACAAUUAUAUGUCUCUUUUUCAUUGAUUAAGUUGAUGCAAAUAGCACUGAUUUUGUGCCUACUUUCUGGGAGAAAUACUCUCAGAUUGCUUGAAAUGAUGGGCUGGCUGACCAUUUGCAUAUUCUGCAAUUUUCUUUGGAUUUGGAUAUCUGCAGUACUUCUCAUUGUCUUCUUAUAUCGUCACUAUGAUGAAACCAAAUACCACUUGCACCUGUGUGCACGUCUGAUGUUUUUCUGCAUAUUAUGUAGCUGGUAAUACUGACCAAAUUUAAUCGAUAGUUCUACCUGAUAUUAUGGUGCAUUCUCGUUCAUCUCAAUAUAUAUCAUUAACUGAUGUUAUGACCCAUAUUGUUUGAUGGUCUGGGCUAUUACCUUGCUUGCUCCAGAUCCAUUUGAUUAUUGUCUGCCUCCUAAUUUACUAUUGUUUAUCAGGGUUCAAGCAAGUCCCUAGCAGAUAUGGGUCAAGUGAUGAUGAUUAUGCGGAUUCUGAUGACACUACACCUGAACACCAAAUUAUUGGUCACCUGUUCUGCAUCUCUGGGUCACAUAUGGGCAUAGGACCUGUUACAACAAAUACUUCACCACCGGCUGGAAAAAUUUGGGUACAUUCUGGACAAUGUAAGAUGUUGAAUGAUAAUACGCCCGUAUUUUUUUUAGACUAACAGGGAGCGCUCCCCAGCUCCAUCUUCUUUUUAUUGAAAAUGAAGCACAUAAGCGUUUUCGCCCGUAUUAUUUUGGGUGUUAUGUGGUGUCAGAUUACGCAAGCAUCGGAAUUUUGAACGAAAAUAGUGGCCUUAGGGUCCUCAUAAUGGAGAUAAUACCCAGUCAAGCCCGGUCGACUAUGCGAGCCCUCGAUUCUAAGGUAGCUCCACUAUUUGUGUGCCUUGCUUUUCUUGUCCAUGUUGCCUUGCCUUGAUGGUAUGAACCCAGCCAUAUGGUAUCAGGAUGGUCUUAAUUCUCUUAUGGGUUUGAUUUUUGAGUAUAAUUUUAUGAUUAGACCUAGGCCUGAAACUAUUAGAAGAGUUGUUCCAGAUCUAAAACUAUUAAAAGAGCUAUAUAUGGUACCUAUUUCUCGGAGCAGUGAGGUUCCUGUUUCUGUUCCAGGUACUAUUAUCGUUGAUGCCAUUUAUUUAAAAGCUAACUCCAUACACAAUACAAUUUUAGAUAUGAAGUUUUCAGGCUAAGAAAAUGAACUUUUGUUCAUAAGAUGUUAGCAACUCUAAAACAUGGAGAGUUGUUCAUCGUGAAUUUAUUUGAAUAAAUUGAGGCAUCUAGCUUGGGUUCAUCUAAAAAAAAGUACAUUAUGAUGCUAAUAACAUAGUACAGUUUAUGUUUAUACAUUGUUUGGAUGAUGCUUGCAUUAGAAAAUUCAUGCGCAUCAAGGAGUUCAUUUCUUGGAUGAUGUUUGUGCUGAAUACCAUGUCACACUACAAGAGCCUGAGGGCGUGCAGAUUGUUUGCCUUUUCUGUUUCAGAACAGCUAGGCAUUACUAAUUUUGGUUGAUGAAUCACUCCCUCAUUUAAUAAAAAAAUGCCUGGCUGUUUUGAGAUAAUUAAGACAUGCAAAUUUCAUGGACAUGAUCUGAUUGAAUCAAAUAGGAAUUCAUGAAGACAGGCUUGUUUCAUGUCCUAAUGUACUUUCUAUGCCAAGUAUUUUACCCGCUGAAUUCAUUUUGAGUCUUUCUGUUGUAGUUGUAGCACUUCAUGAAGACAGGCUUGUUUCAUGUCCUAAUGUACUUUCUAUGCCAAGUAUUUUAUCCGUUGAAUUCUUUUUGAGUCUUUCUGUUGUAGUUGUACCACUUCAUGUUGCCCAUGAUACUACUGUAGGACAAUGAUGAUAUCUUCUUAGCCAUGUGGUCUUGACUUGCAAGGUUUAGGAAAUUCACUGUGAUAUUUUUACGAUUUUAGAACCUCGAUACAUCCCAUCUCUCUCAUGAUAGCUACACCUUCUCCUUCCAUGAAAUUUACUUAAUUUGGAAGACGACACAUAUAAAACCUGCUAUUGGUGAAGUAUUAGACACGCAUGUCCAGAAUUAUGCAGACAAUUCUAGAUAUUCUUGGCUAUUUUUGUUCUGGUAGAAAUAGAUAAGUCUGUCCAUUCUGAACUGAACUUGGCACAAGGAAAUUCUUUUGAUUAAAGAAAAGUUUCUGCCUUAUCAGAGGUCUACUUAAUUUUUAUCUGUUAGUGGUAGUAUUUUAAAUGUAACCGAGUUACUGCUAAGUUCAUAAUAUUUGGAAAAAUGUUGAAUGCUUAUUUUAUCAGCAACAACUUCUAAUCUGCACUCUUUGUAAGGUGUUCACGAUAUCUUGCAUCGGCACUUGAGCAGGUACUGUUCCUUUUCUCUAUGUAUCAUCACAUUUGAGAAAUUUUCCUGUUUGAUGUCAUGGUGUUACCUUAUUGGUAGGCCGACAGGGAUUGUGAUUUGUGAGGAGAGACCGAGACAGAAGGAGAGUUGGGUAGAGGAAGGGCAAGGGAGGACAUACCACGAUCUGCAAGUACCAUGGAGGCUGAUGAUGAGCAUGCGUGUGGACCCCUCUUUGUACCUAUGCAACAUCCUAGGCUUCUUUGGCUUAGACGAAGGAGAAGACUUUUGUUGCCGCUCCUUUCCCCUGCCCACGCUGUAGCUAAUCGAAAAGAUCGCAGCCUGAUCAUUGAUUCAAACUGUUCUAGGUUUAAAGGUCAUGUUUUACAUGUUACGGUGCCUUCGGUUCGUAACAGUGAAGCCAAUGGACAUGCAGUUCAGCUGGCGGACAACAUAUUUGGCAAGGAUACACCAGUUGUCCCAGAAAUAGCUGCCGAACAUUUGCCUAUAUAUGCUAAGUGAUAAAAAGUGGGUCAUUCUUCACUGAUCACUUUUGCAUAUGUUCAACAUGAAUUGACAAAAGAUAUACAUGCAGAUAUGGAACAAACCCUGUAGAAGACGUGACCAAUGCAGAUGGCAAGAAAAACAUCACUUAAUUCCCUGUUAGGAGAGUUGCCUAAUAGGUAGCAUAUGUCACCAAUAGCUGUUUUCUUCCUGCUAUCUACGUGCCGUGGGAAAUUAGAGUUAUGUUCCUCUCUUUUGCUAUGGUAUUGUGCUACGAAUCAAGUGUCUGAUGCUUCUGGGUUGUGCAAAGAGCCAUGUGUAUAUUCAUGGUUUACUACCUGUCUGCUCCGCUCUCAUUUUUAGUUCUUUGUAGCUUUUACUACCUCUCAUAUUCUGUUUGGG
This is a non-coding RNA of Lolium perenne, 6248 nucleotides long. The record is from RefSeq and is a predicted model, not a curated record. NCBI's taxonomy places the organism in Eukaryota, Viridiplantae, Streptophyta, Magnoliopsida, Poales, Poaceae.